RNAcentral lists this transfer RNA (72 nucleotides) under Petrodromus tetradactylus (four-toed elephant shrew). Its description in RNAcentral is "tRNA-Phe". Lineage: Eukaryota; Metazoa; Chordata; Mammalia; Macroscelidea; Macroscelididae. The record is from RNAcentral.
AUUAAUGGAGCUUAAUUUCCAAAGCAAGGCACUGAAAAUGCCUAGAUGAGUUAUCUCCUGACUCCAUAAACA